CGCUAGCUACAGGCUUAACACAUGCAAGUCGAGGGGCAGCAUGGUCUUAGCUUGCUAAGGCCGAUGGCGACCGGCGCACGGGUGAGUAACACGUAUCCAACCUGCCGUCUACUCUUGGACAGCCUUCUGAAAGGAAGAUUAAUGCAAGAUGGCAUCAUGAGUCCGCAUGUUCACAUGAUUAAAGGUAUUCCGGUGGACGAUGGGGAUGCGUUCCAUUAGAUAGUAGGCGGGGUAACGGCCCACCUAGUCUUCGAUGGAUAGGGGUUCUGAGAGGAAGGUCCCCCACAUUGGAACUGAGACACGGUCCAAACUCCUACGGGAGGCAGCAGUGAGGAAUAUUGGUCAAUGGGCGAGAGCCUGAACCAGCCAAGUAGCGUGAAGGAUGACUGCCCUAUGGGUUGUAAACUUCUUUUAUAAAGGAAUAAAGUCGGGUAUGCAUACCCGUUUGCAUGUACUUUAUGAAUAAGGAUCGGCUAACUCCGUGCCAGCAGCCGCGGUAAUACGGAGGAUCCGAGCGUUAUCCGGAUUUAUUGGGUUUAAAGGGAGCGUAGAUGGAUGUUUAAGUCAGUUGUGAAAGUUUGCGGCUCAACCGUAAAAUUGCAGUUGAUACUGGAUAUCUUGAGUGCAGUUGAGGCAGGCGGAAUUCGUGGUGUAGCGGUGAAAUGCUUAGAUAUCACGAAGAACUCCGAUUGCGAAGGCAGCCUGCUAAGCUGCAACUGACAUUGAGGCUCGAAAGUGUGGGUAUCAAACAGGAUUAGAUACCCUGGUAGUCCACACGGUAAACGAUGAAUACUCGCUGUUUGCGAUAUACGGCAAGCGGCCGAGCGAAAGCGUUAAGUAUUCCACCUGGGGAGUACGCCGGCAACGGUGAAACUCAAAGGAAUUGACGGGGGCCCGCACAAGCGGAGGAACAUGUGGUUUAAUUCGAUGAUACGCGAGGAACCUUACCCAGGCUUAAAUUGCAGAUGAAUUACGGUGAAAGCCGUAAGCCGCAAGGCAUCUGUGAAGGUGCUGCAUGGUUGUCGUCAGCUCGUGCCGUGAGGUGUCGGCUUAAGUGCCAUAACGAGCGCAACCCUUGUUGUCAGUUACUAACAGGUUCUGCUGAGGACUCUGACAAGACUGCCAUCGUAAGAUGUGAGGAAGGUGGGGAUGACGUCAAAUCAGCACGGCCCUUACGUCCGGGGCUACACACGUGUUACAAUGGGGGGUACAGAGGGCCGCUACCACGCGAGUGGAUGCCAAUCCCCAAAACCUCUCUCAGUUCGGACUGGAGUCUGCAACCCGACUCCACGAAGCUGGAUUCGCUAGUAAUCGCGCAUCAGCCACGGCGCGGUGAAUACGUUCCCGGGCCUUGUACACACCGCCCGUCAAGCCAUGGGAGCCGGGGGUACCUGAAGUGCGUAACCGCGAGGAGCGCCCUAGGGUAAAACUGGUGACUGG
RNAcentral lists this ribosomal RNA (1440 nucleotides) under uncultured organism. Its description in RNAcentral is "SSU rRNA". It matches the Rfam family "Bacterial small subunit ribosomal RNA". The record is from RNAcentral.